UACGUAGGGUGCGAGCGUUGUCCGGAAUUAUUGGGCGUAAAGAGCUCGUAGGCGGUUUGUCGCGUCGACUGUGAAAACCCGAGGCUUGACCUCGGGCCUGCAGUCGAUACGGGCAGACUAGAGUUCGGUAGGGGAGACUGGAAUUCCUGGUGUAGCGGUGAAAUGCGCAGAUAUCAGGAGGAACACCGGUGGCGAAGGCGGGUCUCUGGGCCGAUACUGACGCUGAGGAGCGAAAGCGUGGGGAGCGAACAGG
RNAcentral lists this ribosomal RNA (253 nucleotides) under uncultured bacterium. RNAcentral describes it as "partial 16S ribosomal RNA". It matches the Rfam family "Bacterial small subunit ribosomal RNA", at positions 524 to 776 of the family's 1533-position model. The record is from RNAcentral.